UCCUGUGCAAAGCCCAGUUCUAUGGGUUUAGCCCACAUCCUAGGGACAAGCGAGGUAGGAGAUGUGAACUGGAGCCAUCACAAGCAAAAGAGAGUGGAGACCAAGUCUUCCUCGUUUGGGGGUGCUCUAAGCACUCAGCUGCUGCAAGGAGCAGCUGCCUUCUCCUGCAGUGAUGAUGACUUUAAAAAACAGCACCCACAGCUGAAUUUCACUAGGGUUCUCGUUCUCCUGAUGUGAAUGUCAGGCUGUUUGGAUUGAACAACCCAGGGAUUCAGGCACAGAUGCACACACUGCCCCAUGGCAACUCAGCCAAGUUCAGGCGGGAAUUGGGUUCCCUCUCAUUAGACCACAGCACUUCUGGGCUCUCUGGGAAAAUCUGAGCCAAACUGAGAGGUCCUAAAUCAAGCAAGACUUGGUUUUUACUGUCGGUGCCUGUCAGCUGCCUUACCAGCCUACACAAAUGUCCCUCAGGUUAGGUGAGCCCAACCCAUGAGUCCAUAUGGCACACAAAGCUGUGUGGAUUACUAGUGGCUUUCCUGCAGUACUGCACCCAAACUCAUCAGCCUGCCCUGAGUGGGGGCUGCCAGCUCCAGCACAAUGCUGUGAAAUGCAGCUGGAGCUGGCUGCUGUGGGCAAUCAGGAUGCAUCUCUGCUCCAUCAGCAUGGGCUUGGCCAACAUCUGGGUUGGUAUUUAGUCCCUCAUCACUCACUGCUGCAAAUCUUUCUCCUCCUCCUACUAAAAGUCAUGUCAAAUAGAUAAGGAAACACUUGCAAUGCAAAGGUUGCUUGUUGUACAUUAAGUACUUGAGCAGUGAGAGGCACCUUCUCCUGUCAACUAUUGCAUGGCUUAUCCUGUAGCUCUAGGCACAGAGCCCAAAGCCAAAUUUUUCAAAGGUUGUCUACACAAGAAAGAACAGAAACAGCUCCAUUUCAGGAGGGGCAAGCACCUGUUUCUGUAGGAACUGAGGGGAGUGAUGAGAAGAAUAUUGGACUUGCCAGUAAUAUUAAAACACAAUUUUAUAUUUAUAAAAUACCUAUAGAGUCUUUUAAAUAACAGUCUUCCUUCAUGGUCAAGCAGUUAGAACAGGCAGAUAUAUUCCCACAAUUCUUUUUCCUGCCUACUGAAUGGCUAUCUACCUUUAAUUUCUAGGAGCAGUUCAGCUCCUCCAUGACAGAGAAUUGUUUAUAAACACAGGUCAUCCAUCUUUGUGGUCAUUACAUACCCCAUUAUCCAGAGGAUAGAAGUUUCUGCCAACUCAAGGUUGGUAAAGAUGAGACAAAACAAAAGGGUGUUGCAUUUCUGAGAAACACUGCACUUAAUCUUUGAAAGACACCAAAAAGGUUGAUACUUUUAGAGGUAGAUCUUAAAACACCCUCAUGUGGUGGAAAACCAUUGCAGCAUUACAGUACUGCUCCCUGUCCUGGGGCGUUAAACCUCUCCUAGUGGACUGCUUGGACAGAAACUUCUAUUUCACGCUUCUUUUGCUCAGCUAACCAACCUGAUGUCCAACAAGUCUGCGUUUACUUACCGAAGGACACUUUUUGCAUUCAGAUUUGACUGUCUCUGCUACUAGGGGCAUGGACACGUAAUUGGAGUCCAAAGUCUUGACAACACCAGCAGCUUGCUUCCCAGCGAUCAGUCCAGGGCCAGCUUGUACUGACUUCAGUUCCAGUCUCUGCCUGUGCAUCCAUACAUUGAAAACACCAUUAGAACUCAAACAUUUCGAAGAAGUGCAAAAAUCACGGGGAGAGGAAACAAAAAGAAACCCUCCACAGACAAAAAAAAUACAGAACAAAGAAUUACUAAAGUUCUUGGACUUGUUUUAAAACGUUCAGAUCAUGGAAAGUCUACAGGUUUUUUAAGGUAAUAGAAAUAUUUAACCCUGGUGGGAUUACUGCCAGAGGAGCGUGAUAUAAAAUACCUCAAUAACAAACUUUACAAAGUAUGGAUCUAUAGUGUCUGGUAAACAGCCCUCAGUAACCAUAGACAUUCUGAAAAGUUUCACAUAUUUGUUCAUAAGAAGAUUUGGAAAUUGGGUUUUUGAAUGUACUUU
Anas platyrhynchos (mallard) is the source of this 2054-nucleotide long non-coding RNA. RefSeq lists it as uncharacterized. The record is from RefSeq and is a predicted model, not a curated record. NCBI's taxonomy places the organism in Eukaryota, Metazoa, Chordata, Aves, Anseriformes, Anatidae.